AAAUUGAAGAGUUUGAUCAUGGCUCAGAUUGAACGCUGGCGGCAGGCCUAACACAUGCAAGUCGAACGGUAACAGGAAGCAGCUUGCUGCUUUGCUGACGAGUGGCGGACGGGUGAGUAAUGUCUGGGAAACUGCCUGAUGGAGGGGGAUAACUACUGGAAACGGUGGCUAAUACCGCAUAACGUCGCAAGACCAAAGAGGGGGACCUUCGGGCCUCUUGCCAUCAGAUGUGCCCAGAUGGGAUUAGCUUGUUGGUGAGGUAACGGCUCACCAAGGCGACGAUCCCUAGCUGGUCUGAGAGGAUGACCAGCCACACUGGAACUGAGACACGGUCCAGACUCCUACGGGAGGCAGCAGUGGGGAAUAUUGCACAAUGGGCGCAAGCCUGAUGCAGCCAUGCCGCGUGUAUGAAGAAGGCCUUCGGGUUGUAAAGUACUUUCAGCGGGGAGGAAGGUGUUGUGGUUAAUAACCGCAGCAAUUGACGUUACCCGCAGAAGAAGCACCGGCUAACUCCGUGCCAGCAGCCGCGGUAAUACGGAGGGUGCAAGCGUUAAUCGGAAUUACUGGGCGUAAAGCGCACGCAGGCGGUCUGUCAAGUCGGAUGUG
RNAcentral lists this ribosomal RNA (606 nucleotides) under Salmonella enterica. RNAcentral describes it as "bacterial SSU rRNA". It matches the Rfam family "Bacterial small subunit ribosomal RNA", at positions 1 to 596 of the family's 1533-position model. The record is from RNAcentral. Lineage: Bacteria; Pseudomonadati; Pseudomonadota; Gammaproteobacteria; Enterobacterales; Enterobacteriaceae.